UACGUAGGGUGCAAGCGUUAAUCGGAAUUACUGGGCGUAAAGCGUGCGCAGGCGGUUCUAUAAGACAGGUGUGAAAUCCCCGGGCUUAACCUGGGAAUUGCAUUUGUGACUGUAGGACUAGAGUGUGUCAGAGGGGGUGGAAUUCCACGUGUAGCAGUGAAAUGCGUAGAUAUGUGGAGGAACACCAAUGGCGAAGGCAGCCCCCUGGGAUAACACUGACGCUCAUGCACGAAAGCGUGGGGAGCAAACAGG
Molecule: ribosomal RNA, 252 nt
Filed under: uncultured bacterium
Lineage: Bacteria
Description: partial 16S ribosomal RNA
Rfam family: Bacterial small subunit ribosomal RNA
Source: RNAcentral